AUUGCGAUCAAGUUCACGUUUAUUUUGACAUCUCGAAGGUCUUCGAAUAAGGUCACCGGCAUUUUUGUAGCCUUCCUUGUAUACUGCAGCAUUGCCUGACCAGUUGACCCACUGACCGUUACUUUGAGGAGGCGCUUCCUGAGGAGCCGAUUCCUGAUGCAUUUAAAAAGAAUUGCCCUGGGCGUGCGGGCUGGGAGGCCACCUAUCGGCCAUUUCCAGUCGUCGCCGAGUUUUGGGACCCACGUGUUUAUCGGGAAAACUACCAUGUGUGAAACCAUGCAGAGUUCCAGUUGAACUUGUACAAGAUACUCCAUAAAAGUAUUGGAGCAGAUUCCUCGACUGGAACUAUACCGUACUAAUAUUAUUUACCAAUCUUUUCUGUCGUGCCCAUUCCGUGAUUGGAACCACCUUCCAGUGAACGUUUGGUUGUUGGAAGUAUUCUUUUUGCUAAGGUAUUGGAUAUAACUAGGGCUCCGUGUUUUCGGAGUUUAUUUUUCGUGAAAUUCGGAGGGUGUUUUUCGGAGUUUAUUUU
Ixodes scapularis (black-legged tick) is the source of this 532-nucleotide long non-coding RNA. RefSeq lists it as uncharacterized. Lineage: Eukaryota; Metazoa; Arthropoda; Arachnida; Ixodida; Ixodidae. The transcript is spliced from 3 exons. The record is from RefSeq and is a predicted model, not a curated record.